Balaenoptera acutorostrata (minke whale) is the source of this 1162-nucleotide long non-coding RNA. RefSeq lists it as uncharacterized. The record is from RefSeq and is a predicted model, not a curated record. NCBI's taxonomy places the organism in Eukaryota, Metazoa, Chordata, Mammalia, Artiodactyla, Balaenopteridae. The transcript is spliced from 4 exons.
UGUGUCCCGGGUCCUCCAGUGUGGACAGAGCAUGUGGACACCCGGGGAGGUAAAGGCAGGAGAGAUGGAUGGCCUAGGGGUGAGGGGAGACCUGAGCAAGAGACUGGGAGAGACUCAGGUAGACGCCAGCCAGACAGGAGAGAGAAUAAGAGUGACAGAGGCACCCAUGGAGUUAGAGAAAGCGAGUCAGGCCACUGUGAGAGCCCUAGGACAAGAGGCAGACAGACACAGAGACAGAGAGAGGCAGAGACACACAGAGAGAUCGGCAGAGAGGGCCAGCAGUUCUCGGUACAGCUGAGGCUCACAGAGCUAAUCCGUGGUGGACUCAGGAGCCAGGCGCUAACCACUGGUCUGCACGGCCCAGCGAGGGAAGCCUGCUCUCCAGCUGGCUCUGUCCCCCCCUACCCCUGUCCCCCCAACAUUCCUGCUGCAGCUCUUCACCCAGAUGAAGGGGUGGAGCAGAGCCAAGAGCUGAUGUGCAUCCCACUGAGCUGAUUGCCGGCUCCAGACAGACCAGGCAGGACUGGGGACGCCCGAGAAUACCAGCAUGGACAAGUGACACUCCCUGCCCCGAGGUUACCUGCCACCCUUGGACUGACUUGACCGGGAUUGAGCUUCCCCCACCCAGUGGUGCAGGGCUCCAAAUAGAGAUGAUGUUGAAUUAAGUAAAAGCCUACUGAGCUACUGUAUCCUUGCCCAGAAGGGAAAACUGAGCCUUGCUCAUCCACAGCCACGUGGCAAGUAAGUGCUGGGGCCGGGAUGUGAACUCAGGUCCACCUGAUUCCCACAUCAGUACUCUUUAGCCCCAUGGUGCUCCAUGGUGACCCCUGCCUGGGAUUAUCAGGCUACGUGGACAGAUACCUGGAGAGGACACUCCACUGCCAGAUAAAGAGGCGAGGUGGGUGACCUCCUAACCUGAAAACCAUUGGUUUAAAUCCAUCAUUUGGCUCAGCCAAUGUUAUCCAAGCACUAGGCACCCAGGGGAGUCAAAGAUGGAUGAGAGGGUGAGACCUGGGGGAGAAAAAGCAGGUGGGAGGUGAGAGACGUGUCCACAGGAGAGGUGACAAGGCCUGAGCCAGGGCAGUGGCCAGGAAGACAGGAGGAUGGUCUGAGAAGCUGAGGCAACAGGAUGCAUGGGACCUGCUGCCUGGGGGUGAGUUGG